AGCGAUAAAGCUUUCUUAAAGCCUUAGAGAAAAUGUAAUGCAUUGCAGUACACAGGGGUUCGGGAGAAAUGAUUCUUUUAAAGAUAUCCACAGCAAAACAUUUCAUCUUUUGCUAUGUUUUGUUGGCUCCUGGGUCUGAUCCCAGCCUGAACAACAUUACAGGCUCCUUAUGAGCUUCGCCUUUCUUUUCUUUUUAAGAAUAUAUAAUUCAGAACUUGAAGGCUUGUGAAGAGCUACAUAGACAUGCUAUCUUCUGUAUCUGUAAGAAACUAAGCCAUGAUGGUAAUACGGGUAUCUUUCAAAGCAUGAAAUGAAACCAGAAAUUACAAGGAAGGAUCAGGCUUUUUGAGCAACAGUGAUGAAACCUGAAACCAUGGAUAAUCAAGUUUUAGGAGCUGUGCCCUUCUUAAUUCAUUGCCCCUUCCCACACCUAAUCUCUCUAUUUCAAUAUCCAACAGAAAAUAGA
RNAcentral lists this long non-coding RNA (466 nucleotides) under Monodelphis domestica (gray short-tailed opossum). Its description in RNAcentral is "lncRNA (ENSMODG00000049275.1)". Lineage: Eukaryota; Metazoa; Chordata; Mammalia; Didelphimorphia; Didelphidae. The record is from RNAcentral.